This 497-nucleotide ribosomal RNA is filed under the name uncultured bacterium. Its description in RNAcentral is "partial 16S ribosomal RNA". It matches the Rfam family "Bacterial small subunit ribosomal RNA", at positions 28 to 507 of the family's 1533-position model. The record is from RNAcentral.
GAUGAACGCUGGCGGCGUGCCUAAUACAUGCAAGUCGAGCGAACAGACGAGGAGCUUGCUCCUCUGACGUUAGCGGCGGACGGGUGAGUAACACGUGGAUAACCUACCUAUAAGACUGGGAUAACUUCGGGAAACCGGAGCUAAUACCGGAUAAUAUAUUGAACCGCAUGGUUCAAUAGUGAAAGACGGUUUUGCUGUCACUUAUAGAUGGAUCCGCGCCGCAUUAGCUAGUUGGUAAGGUAACGGCUUACCAAGGCGACGAUGCGUAGCCGACCUGAGAGGGUGAUCGGCCACACUGGAGCGGAGACACGGUCCAGACUCCUACGGGAGGCAGCAGUAGGGAAUCUUCCGCAAUGGGCGAAAGCCUGACGGAGCAACGCCGCGUGAGUGAUGAAGGUCUUCGGAGCGUAAAACUCUGUUAUUAGGGAAGAACAAAUGUGUAAGUAACUAUGCACGUCUUGACGGUACCUAAUCAGAAAGCCACGGCUAACUACGUG